RNAcentral lists this transfer RNA (76 nucleotides) under Escherichia coli. RNAcentral describes it as "tRNA-Lys". It matches the Rfam family "tRNA". Rfam says of the family: Transfer RNA (tRNA) molecules are approximately 80 nucleotides in length. Their secondary structure includes four short double-helical elements and three loops (D, anti-codon, and T loops). Further hydrogen bonds mediate the characteristic L-shaped molecular structure. tRNAs have two regions of fundamental functional importance: the anti-codon, which is responsible for specific mRNA codon recognition, and the 3' end, to which the tRNAs corresponding amino acid is attached (by aminoacyl-tRNA synthetases). tRNAs cope with the degeneracy of the genetic code in two manners: having more than one tRNA (with a specific anti-codon) for a particular amino acid; and 'wobble' base-pairing, i.e. permitting non-standard base-pairing at the 3rd anti-codon position. RNAcentral also lists the same sequence under 2 other names. The record is from RNAcentral. Lineage: Bacteria; Pseudomonadati; Pseudomonadota; Gammaproteobacteria; Enterobacterales; Enterobacteriaceae.
GGGUCGUUAGCUCAGUUGGUAGAGCAGUUGACUUUUAAUCAAUUGGUCGCAGGUUCGAAUCCUGCACGACCCCCCA